Molecule: long non-coding RNA, 31596 nt
Filed under: Nicotiana benthamiana
Lineage: Eukaryota; Viridiplantae; Streptophyta; Magnoliopsida; Solanales; Solanaceae
Description: long non-coding RNA (NBEN_LNC037137)
Source: RNAcentral
AGCUCUACCUCGAAUGUCCUCUUCUGUUGCUUGCGGAUUGGCUCCAUUCUCAUCUCCAUUGCCCAUUACUGCUGAUUUGUCUGUUAAAUGGGCUUCAUUGGCAAUCAAUGAUGGAGAUUAUGGCCGUUCUGGCUUCUGGUGAGUUCAACUCGUCUUUAUUAUUUUUGUUUAUCAUUCAGUUGGGUUGGUGAGUGGUUGUUGUAGCUUUCUUGUGAAAGUUCUUUAAAGUGGAAUAGCUUUUGUUGACUUAAUUUGGAUCUGGGUCUUAGCUGGCUAAACUCAACCUUUAGUUUGAUGGAUUUGUCCAUAACUGUGUAGAAAAAGAAUAAAGAAAUUGCUGAUAUGAGUUUUAUAGUGAUGUGCAGUAGAUUUGACAAUUGAAUCGACGAUUUUCAAAUAUCCACAUAUGCAACUUGAUUCUACUUGGUCUGCCGCUGUUAUCAUGUAAAAAAGAAAGAAAAGCCAGUUAUUCUUAUAGAAUUGAAAUAGAGUUAUCCCAGUUGGCAGUAAAUUGGAUUAUUCAUUUGUUUGCCUAUAUUGGUUCUACUAUGCUUUUUAUUUUCUUAAUGUAAAUCUACAUAUGAUAGAGUUAGGAAAUCAUCUAAGGGUUGUACACCACCACUACCCUAACAAACCCAGUCUAGUCUCACAAGUAGGGUCUGGGGAAGUUAGUGUGUACUCAAACUUUACGCGUACCUUGAAAAGAUAGAGAGACUGUUUCCGAUAGACCUUCAGCUCAGGAAAGAUAAGAAGAAAGGAGUAGCAACAAGUAGUAACACCAGCAGGCCAAUCAGAAAAUCGAAGUGAACGAAACAACUAGUGAUAACAGAAAUAUAAGAAUAAGAAAAUACAAGACUAACACUAUGUAGCACACUAAUAUCACUAAUAUGAACAAGGAAAAUAGAAAAUAGCUGGCCACCUAACCUUCUACCGAAUUCUUGAUCUCUACACCUUCCUAUCAAGGAUUAUGUCCUCGAUAAGUUGAAGUAUCACCAUGUCUUCCCUAAUCAUCUCACCUCAAUACUUUUUCGGCUUACCUCUACCUCUCCUUAGGCCCUCCAAGGCCAACCUCUCAUGCCUAUUUAUUGGGGCAUCAAUGCUUCUCCUCUUUACCUGUCCAAACUAUCUAACUCUCGCUUCAUGCAUCUUGUCCUCCACCAGAGCUAUGCCCACUUUUUCUCGAAUAUCUUCAUUCCAAAUUUUAUCCAACUUGGUAUACCCACUUACAUCUCAACAUCCUCAUUGCCGUUACCUUCAUCUUUUGGAUAUUGGGUUCUUGACUGGCCAACACUCAACUCCAUACAUGAUACAACAUAGUCGGUCUGACUACCGCUCCGUAGAACUUACUUUUAAGUUUUGAUGGCACAUUCUUAUCACACAAAACAGCGGAUGCGAGCCUCCCUUUUAUCCUCCUAAUACGAUGUGUGACAUCGUCGUCAAUCUCCCCAUUUCCCAUCACAAGUCACUUCGAUCAAUAACGAAUAAACAGGAAAUUCUAUGCAGGUUUAACUAAAAAUGAAUAGCUAUCACAUCCGCACAAUAGAUUUGUGGAAAAGAGAAAUAGCAAGCUAGAAACAUUCAAUUCUAAAAUAAAAAAAAGGAAGAUACAUUACUGUACUGUGUCUCAAAAAGAAGGAGAGAUAGAGAUGAGUAUACUCAUCAUUCGGCAUUUGUCACAUUGCAAAAACAAAUUAUUCUCAGACUCUUCAUCCAUAUGGCAAAUCAUCUAAGAUUGCGCUUAGUUGAAUCUAGAAUUUUCCAAAGAAAACAUGCUGAGGCUGCUAGAUAAUUUCCUUCCUAUAUUGAUAUUUUGAUGUAACACGAACCUCUUCUAUGAGUGCAGAAAGUUGUGUACUGUCAAAUUGUCUCACUCUUGUAUUUCCUGGCACUAAAUAUUAGUGCUGAGUAAGCUCAUAGGUACAUGAAAGGAUGUAACUAUCAAUUCUAUUUGAAAUAGCCAUUAGUUUGCUUUAUAGACAUAAUCUGUUUUAACUUAUGACGUUCUUGGUUAUAAUUUGUUCAGCAGUACGUUUAAACGUAGUUCUCUGCAAGGAAAAUACAUUAUUCCUUAUCAGAAUUUUGAAAGUAAAACGUUACUGACCACCAUUUUUACUAAAUUUAAGGGAAAUUAACUGGUAAGAAGACAUCUAUUCUCUUAAAAGAAGUGAUAGAUAUCUAAAGUGCUGGGCAUUACUGCCAUGCAAGUAUUCAUAUUCUAUGUGUCAAGUUAAGAGGUCAUUAAUAUCUUAGGUGUUGUGCAUUAAUUCCAUGAAUGAUUUAUAUAAACCAGUAGAAUCUUUCAUCUUUGGUGACAAACAAAGCAGCAGCAUGAUGAAAUAUUCCUAGGCUGAGGUAGAAAGCUCAUACGAGGUAACAUGAGGUUGCAAAAACAAGGAUACAAGGAAUAUCUAGAAAUGACUUAUAUAUUGUCACAAAGCAGCGUUCUAGCAGUGCAUUUAUAAAUUGCGAAAAGGCCUUACCUAUCUCAUGCAUAGAGUAAUUAUGAAGUUAAAGUAAUUACUGCUUGGCUUCUGCCAAUACUUCUAUCUUUAAUGAUACAUUAUCUCAGAUCUUUGGCCAUUUUAGCCUUUAUUUUAGUAUAUAAAUGAAGUAUCAGAUUUAUUUCUGCAUUGGAAUAAUAAUUUGUUUUACAUUAUCUUACAUAGGUGUGUCCUUUGAUAAUGUCAACACUCUAGAGGAAAUGUAGCCUCAAGGUAAAAAGAUAAACUGAGUUGAAUAUGAUCAUUGUUGGUGCAGACAAGGACAUAUACAGGUACCUCUUGCUUUCUAACCUCCCUCUUUUCCCUCCCUAGAAGUAUUUAAACAGGAAAAGAUGCAGUUAGCUGUUGUGUUAAUAAGCAUAGUCCUGCAUGGAAUAGGAGUAGUGUAGGUAUUGUGUUAUUAUAAAUAGGGGUACUUCUAUUAUAGUUAACAUAUCAAUAAUAUAUUUUCUCCCGUGCCUUCUCACAUGGGUACUAGAGCAGUGGUGGCGAGACAUAUCCAGGAACUAGAAUGUAGAGCCAGAAGUCAUCGUGCCUCAAUUUUCCGGCGACUUUUCAAUGUUGCCUUGCAUCAUCUCGCUCUCCGUCAGUGUUGUACAAAAUCCAAUACUACCACAAAAUCCGUCAUCGUCCGGCGGCCGAACCCCAGUGAACCUCUCCGGCAGCAGCCUCCUCACGCCGUUAGAAGCUAGGGUUCCGGCAAGCGCGUGAGCUCACGCACUGGCGAGUACGACCACUUCCGGCCAUUUUUUAAAGAAGUUUCUUCUGAACAGUUGGGCCGUCUACUAAUCCCGACCCCACCUUUACUAUUUUCGUUUUAUUCCGACCACUUUGAGUUUUUUUCGAUGAUUAUACUGAUUUUUCCGGCAGCUACAGUAAAUUUCCCGUGACUACAAUGUUUCCUUCCUCUGCUUCAGUGGAUUCUUUCUCUUAUUUGGUAAUAAUUUGCUAGACCUCUCUUCAAUCCAAUGCUUUCUUUGGGAUUUGAUGUUUUUGGGUAUAAAAACACGGGUUCUGGUAGUUCUAGUGUUAUGAUUACCCCGGAACCUUUAAUGGGAAGCUCAAACUACUUAGCUUGGGCUUCGUUUGUCGAGUUAUGGUGCAAAGGUCAAGGUAUUCAAGAUCAUCUAAUAAAAAGUCUAGCGAAGGAGAUGAAAAAGCCAUAGCACUUUGGGUGAAGAUCGAUACUUAGUUAUGUAGUAUUCUGUGGCUAUCUAUUAAUUCCACGUUGAUGGCCUUAUUUUGUCCAUUCCAGACAUAUUAUUUGAUUUGGGAAAAGACUCGCACUUUAUACUCUAAUGACAUAUUUCGUUUCUAUGAUGUGGUAUCACGGAUGACAAAUUUAAAGAAACAGGAAUUAGAUAUGUCUACUUACUUGGGACAAGUACAGGCAGUCACGGAGGAAUUUGAGAAGUUGAUACUAGAUUCUGCUAGUGUUGAAAAGCAACAAGAGCAACGACAAAAGAUGUUUCUAGUUCUUACCCUCACCAGACUUCCUAAUGAUCUUGAUUCAGUAUGUGACCAAAUUUUGGCUAGUCCAACUGUUCCCGCAGUUGAUGAAUUAUUUUUUCGAUUACUUUGCCUUGCUGGAGCACCAAGUCACCUAAUGAUCUCAUUACAGACACUUGACUCCUCUGUUCUCGCAUCCCAGACAGUAGACAAUCAGGCAUCUCAAACUAUGGAGAAUGGACGAGAAGGAGGUCGUUUUGAAAGACCUUGACCCAAGUGUUCUUAUUGUCACCAACUUGGACACACUCGUGAAUUGUGCUAUCCCUUACAUGGUCAUCCAUCCAAAAAUGCUUAUGUUGCCAGAUCGAGACAACAUGUAACUAGGGAUUUUCAUUGUUUGAAGGGGAAUAUAAUGAGUUCCUUCAGUAUCGAGCAAGUAAGCAGACAUCUCCACAAGUAGCCUCGGUUGCUCAGACUGAUACUUCAGUCGCUGAAUUCUUUUGCUUGUGUAUCCCAGUCUAGUAUUCUUGGACCAUGGGUCAUGGACCGCUUAUGAUCAUAUCUCUUGUAAUAAAUUACUUUUUUCGCAGUCUCUUCCUACUGUUACUUUAGCUAAUGAGUGUCAAACUAAAGUAAAAGGAGCUGGAUAAGCUAAUUCUCUAUCUUUUGUCAUUCUAGAUUCCGUUCUUUAUAUCCCUGACUGUUCUUUUAGUCUCGCAUCUAUUAGUCGUUUAACUCGUGCCCUCCAUUGUGGUAUAUAUUUAUUGAUAAUUCUUUUAUUAUGCAGGACCGCAGUACGAGACAGACAAUUGGCACAAGGCAUGAAUCAAAAGGCCUUUACGACCUUAACUCACUCAAUCCUUCCACAACAUGUGUAGUUACAGAUCCUCCAGACCUACUUCACAUACGUUUAAGAUAUUCGAGUUUAUCCAAGCUUCAAAAGAUGAUGCCUAGUUUAUCUAAUUUGGCUACAUUAGAUUUUGAGUCGUGUCAUCUUGGGAAACAUACCCGAGCCUCCUUUCCGCGUAGUGUUGAGAGUCAUGAAGAGUUUGUUUUCUCUUUGCUGAAAAACCACUUUUUUUAAGUCAAUCUAAACGGGCUCUUAUCCUCUCAGUUUCAGCAGUUUAUUACUUCCCAAAGAAUUAUUUAUCAGAUAUCUUAUACCCCUCAACAAAUUGGGGUUGCAAAGAGAAAGAAUAGACACCUUAUUGAGGCUGCUCGCACAUUGUUCAUUGAAUCUCGUAUUCCAUUGCGUUUUUGGGGCGAUUCAGUUCUUACAAUUUGUUAUUUGAUUAAUCAGAUGUCUUCAUCUCUCAUCCAAGAUCAGAUUCCGCAUUCAGUGUUGUUUCCGCAGUUCCCCUUAUACUCUUCCCUAUCGUGUUUUUGUGAGCAUAUGUUUCGUUUAUAAUUUUGCCCCUGAGAAAGAUAAAUUAGCUCCUCGUGUCUUCCUUGGUUAUUCUCGUGUUCAGAAGGUAUAUCGUUGUUAUUCACCUUAUCUUCGUUGGUACCUUAUGUCAACUGACAUCACAUUUAUUGAGUCUAAACCUUUCUUUACCUUUUCUGACCACCAUAAUAUAUAUGAGGAAUUACAUAUACCAACUUUUGAGGAGUUUACUGUAGCUCCUCCUCUACCUUCAGCCACAGAAGUCUUAUUGAUACCAACCGUUGAGGAGUCUGGUGUUGCUCCUCCUAGAUCCCCAGCCACAGGAACACGGAUUUUGACUUAUCAUCGUCGUCCACACCCAGUAUCAGGCUCAGUUGAUUCUCGUCCUGCACCUGACCCUGCUCCUACUGUAGACUUGUCUCUUCCUAGUACACCGAUUGCACUUCGGAAAGGUAUACGGUCCACACUUAAUCCUAAUCCCCAUUAUGUUGGUUUAAGUUACCAUCGUCUGUCAUCAUCCCAUUGUGCAUUUGUAUCAUCUUUGUCAUCUGUUUCCAUCUCUAAGUCUACAAGUGAAGCACUGUCUUAUCCAAGGUGGCGACAUGCUAUGGUUGAAACCAGAAGCUGAAAUACUUAAGUUACAGACUUUUAGCAUAAGCACACUAAAAAUGAGUAUUCGUGUGUAUUGGUACUCAACCUACUGUUGGCUUGAGCAUUACCUUGUUUUGGCUUGAUGUUCGUAGAUGCAGUCAGAAUGGGAGAAAUAGAAAAAUAGUUAGAUUUACAAGUGGUUAUUUAAAAAUAGCCACAGCUGAAAUUUAGCCACUUUUCAUGUAAAGAUAAAUUUGAAUGAAAACACUGUUCAAAAUCCGAAAAAAUACUCCAGCAUAAUAUACUGAAGUUCCAAUAUAAUAUACUGGUCUAGCAUAAUAUACUGGAGUUUGGAGCACCGGUGCUCCAGUCUUCAGUAUAUUAUACUGGAGCCAGCAAAGUAUACCUGUCCAUCAUAGUAUGCUGGAAGUUCAUACAUAGGUGCACCGAACUCUAGUAUGUCAUGGUGGACCGGUCUCUGUUGCAGUAAAAUAGUGGCUAUUUUUCAUUGACUUGGUAAACGGUGGCUAUUUUUGAAUGACCAGUCCGAAAAAUGACUAGACCGUACUAUUUUAACGUCAGAAUAGUUACUACAGCAGUUCCUUGAGGGUGUUUCCUCCUCUCUUACAGUAAAUUUAGGAGCGGGAUCUGACUAUAAAAAAUGUGCAAAAGCAUCUCUUUGGUUGCCCCAUAUUUGUAGUACGCCAAUCUUUGUAUCACAUUGAGCCACCAUCAGUUUACUUUGGACGAAUUUUGUUGACGUUGUAUGCUGUGGGUGUCAACAGAGAAACAACCCUCCUCUUAACAUAGUGCAGAAUAUUGUGAAAUCCUGUGCAUUGUAAUUUUGACUGCUUGCUGUUAUAAGUUAAAGGUCAUUGCUAAUUGUAUUGAAUUUAAUAGGUUAAUAAUGUGUAACUGAUUGGUAUACUGAUCCCAGCUUUACUUCCUUUGUCUUCGAUCUAUUACGAGGAUCAAAGAUUUGUUUUUCACUACCCAAAAUAUGUACUAUUGCCUUGGCAGUCAGUAGUAUCUGAUUUUGUUAACGUUAGCUGAUAGCUUUUGUUUGUUAGUGCAUAAUCAUUCCUUUUAUUUACUGGUUGUGACAAGAGGGGUUGCUCUGAUGGUAAGCAACCCCCACUUCCAAUCGAGAGGUUGUGAGUUNNNNNNNNNNNNNNNNNNNNNNNNNNNNNNNNNNNNNNNNNNNNNNNNNNNNNNNNNNNNNNNNNNNNNNNNNNNNNNNNNNNNNNNNNNNNNNNNNNNNNNNNNNNNNNNNNNNNNNNNNNNNNNNNNNNNNNNNNNNNNNNNNNNNNNNNNNNNNNNNNNNNNNNNNNNNNNNNNNNNNNNNNNNNNNNNNNNNNNNNNNNNNNNNNNNNNNNNNNNNNNNNNNNNNNNNNNNNNNNNNNNNNNNNNNNNNNNNNNNNNNNNNNNNNNNNNNACCUCUCUACCCAAGGGUAGGGGUAAGGUCUGCGUACACACUACCCUCCCCAGACCCCACUAAGUGGGAUUAUACUGGGUUGUUAUUGUUGUUGUAUUUACUGGUCGUGGGAUAGUUACCUAAUUCUACUUUCGGGGUGUCUUCUUCCCUUGGUGCAUUUAGUAUUUUUUUACUAAGUUUCAUAUUCAUUUUGCAAUGCAUGUUCCAGCUGAAUCUUUCUUACAGGUCAUUGUCUCUUUAUGCUCUUUGAAUGUCUCUGAAAUUGAUAAAAAGAAUAUUGUAAAUGAUUUGUAUUAAUCAAUCAACCUAUGACGUUACUACCGUACUACUGGAUUUUGUAUUACAAAAGGUGUCAAGUAUUGGAAUUAAACUAACAGAUUCUAGAGACUAAAUAAAAGUAGUCCUGUUAGAACAUUACGCAGAAAGUGAGAGAAGUUCAACAAAUAUAAGAUAAACAAACAUUUACAUAAACGAAUGACUCCUCAAAUUGAAGAGGACUACUAUACAUGUACUGAUGUACACGAUCUCAGGAUUACGCUCAGUGUGUUGUUUCCCUCACUAAUAUGUUCUUCCAUAAAUCCAUUUUUAUGUCAAGCGUAGUAAUAUAUCCUCAUUGAAGGACUUUAAAUUUGAGAUUAUUUCGAGGAUUUGUAAAGUAAAAUUCGUACUUGAAAGGGACCCUUGGAGUAAAUGUAAAGUUGCCUUUGUAUGACCUAUAGGUUGUGGGUUCGAGUUGUGAAAUGAACCAUUGAUACUUGUAUCAGGAUAGGGUGCUUACAUCACACUCCCUUAGGAUGCGGCUUUUCCUCAGACUCUGCAUGAAUGCAAGAUGUUUCGUGCAUCGAGCUGUCCUUUUUUUAGAUGCAAAAUACGUACUUGAUCGAUCACUAAAUCAAAUUUCUGCAAAGUUUAGAACACAGAUGAAUACUACACGGACAAAUAAAUCAAAACAAUUGAAAAGGAUAGAACUACAUAAUUUAGAGUCUUUAUGCAUAUUGAAGCAUUUGUAAAGAAAAGUGAGUAUUCACACGUACAUAAACAAAAGAUAAAUAGCGCAUCAUCUUGUAACUCCGAAGUUAGCAAAAAAGGUACUUUAAUAUAAUUAAAUGUAAAGAAACUUCUGUAUUAACUUUAACUCAUAAACAGUACAACAGAGUGUUUUAGUUCUUUUAACCAAAUCAUAGCUGAGAUCGAAUGAAAGAUGUGUAAAUAUCACAUGCACGGUUGAAGUACUUAGGAUUAUUGAGGACAUGGCCCUUGACAGGGAACUGUGGAGGUCGAGUAUUAAGGUUAUAGGUUAGGGAAAGUUGUUGAUAUUUAUACAAUGCAAUAGAGUGAGACUAGACAGUUAGGACUUAGUCAUAGGAUGUUACUGCUCAGAUACUGACGCAGGGCGUGAUCGGGUAGAUAUUAUUAUACCUUGCAUCCUUUCCGUAUUUUCUUAGAUUUCAUAUAUUGCUGUUAGUUGUGUUACUUUAUGUUAUGUAUAUUAUUUUAUGUUAUUGUAUUAUGAGUUUAUUGAUAGUGCUAAUAUAUCUCCUCUUGUUUCUUUCUUGAGCCGAGGGUCUCCUGGAAACAGCCUCUCUGCCCCUCGGGGUAGGGGUAAGGUCUGCAUAUAUAUUACCCUCCCCAGACCCUACUUGUGAGAUCAUAUUAUGAGUUUAUUGAUAGUACUAAUAUAUCUUCUCUUGUUGCUUUCUUGAGCCGAGGGUCUCCUGGAAACAGCCUCUCUGCCCCUCGGGAUAGAGGUAAGGUCUGCGUACAUAUUACCCUCCCCAAACCCCACUUGUGGGAUCAUACUGGGACGUUGUUGUUGUUGUUGUUGUAAAGUGCAUAGUCUGUUAGUUACACACAUACAAAACAAUAACAACAACUACUCUCACUCCCGAACAAAUUGGGAUCGGUAAUAUGAAUCAUCAUUCCUUGGAAUCAAUGCGGACUUAUGUCACGUCCUUAAUCGUUAACUAAGUACAUGUGCGGCACUUGACAACUCGCUCACGAUCUUGAAUAUACAAAGCAUCAUGGAAGAACAUAAUUGGUGUCAAAAUUGCUCGCAUUCUUGCUAUGCCAAGUUAGCCUUACUAUACUCAAGAUAUUUAAAACAAUGGUAGAAAAAACACAAGAGAAUUGUUAAAGAAGCUUUGUAUUAGAGAGAACUGGAAUUGUUUGCUUGGAGAAUUACAAAUGAAUGCCCUCCUUUAUAUACUAGUCUCUUAAGGGCUAGUAUGUAAAUAUUAAUUGCUACACAAGUCCUUAAUAUUUACAAGAUAAGGGUUUUCUCUAGAAUUCUCUACAACCUAGAAAAUUCCAAGGACUUUCCUAGCAAAUCCAUAAGGAUCUAGGGUCUUCCUAAGAAAAUGUCCAUACUUCUUUCGAAUCUUCUCACAAAUGCUAGCCUUCCUCUUAUGUAAGCUUCCACAUAACACAAAUAUAUGUCAAACGGCGCGUAUGUGGCAUGAUGAUGUGGUGAGUCAUUACACUCUCCCCACCUAAUAGUGCGAUGACCUGGGAGCAAUGCUGCUGCAUAAUCUCUCGAAUCUUAUCUUUGAAUUGCCACAAGUCUUCAUAACAUUCCCAUGCGGCCUUCUCCGGUGAUUGCCCUUUCCAAUGGACGAGGAACAUAGCGAUGGAUUUUGGCCCCUUUUUUUUGCCUGGCCUGAUAAUCCAUAAUAGCCUCAAUCUCCCGACCAUGCGAGGUGGUGAUAGUCAUUGUCGCUCGACUUGAUUGGUCCCCUACUCGAAUCAUCCUUAUCUUCAUGAUAUGGCUUAAGCAUGCUGACAUGGAAGACAAGUAGAUCUUAAGAUACGAUGGCAUGUCAAGCUUGUAUGAGAUCUUGCCUACCUUCGCGACGAUCAUAAAUAGCCCCUCAUACUUGGAAUCAGAUUCUGAUGCAUGCAUCGUAGUUCCUUGAACUCUCUUGAGUUAAACUUCACCAUGACCAUUUCCUCAACUCUAUAGUCUAUGGGACGCCGCUUACGCUCCACAAACUUCUUCAUCUUCUUAGCUGCCUUAUCCAAGUAGGACUUAGUAGUAUCAAGAUUAUCCUCCCAUCCUUUGGCCAUAUGAUAAGCCCCCAAACUCUUUCCAUCGAACACGACUUGUAAUGAAUGUGGAGUUUGUGGUUGUUGACAUGCGGCUAGCUCAAAUGGUGUUUGCCCUGUGGACUCACUCAGUUGUAAUUUAUAAGAGGAUUGGGCAAUGUCUAGGAGCCUUGCCCAAUCUUUAUGAUGCGCGCUUACAUAAUGCGUCAAGUAGCAUUCUAGUAAGGCAUUGACUCGUUCCAAUUGUCCAUCUGUCUGUGGGCGGAAACUAGUGGAAAAUAAGUGCAGCUCCAUGCCAAGUAUGCCGAACAACUCUCUCCAAAAGUUUCCAGUGAAUCCGGGGUCUAGAUCAUUGAUAAUAUGCCUUGGUAAGCUCCAAAUACUUCACCAUAUUCUUAAAGAAUAGCUUGGCAUCUUCCUUGGCUGUGCAACCUGGUUAGGCGGGCAUGAAGGUGGCAUAUUUGGAAAAUCUAUCCAUGACUACCAUAAUAGUACCAUAAUCGCAUGAAUUUGGUAGGACAGUGGUAAAGUCCAUAGUCACACUUUCCCAUGGACGCUCUGCAACUGGUAGUGGAUCCAAAAGUCCUCCGGGCUGUUGUUGCUCAACCUUGUCUUGUUGACAUACAAGACAAGUCUGCACAUAUCAUUCUAUAUCAUCUCGCAUGCAUGGCCAAUAGUAGACUAACUCAUACAAGGACCUGGUGCGACGUUGUCCUGGAUGACCAGCCCAUAUUGUGUCGUGAAUCUCCAUUAUGAUCCGCUGUCUAACGUCUCCAAACUUAGGCACGUAGACCCACUGACCCGUGGUAAGCAAUAGGCCAUCUUCUAUCCAAAAACAUCUCGUUUUGCGUUGGCUGGAUAACUCGAUAAACUGUUUGCCUGCUGGAUCAUAUUGCAUGUCUUAAUUUAUAGCCUCGCAAAUGUCCCAACUUGCUGAAGUGAUGGCAGCAAACUCGGCUUUCCGGCUCAAGGCAUCAACUACAACGUUACCUCUGCCCGGGUUGUACUCCAGCACAUAAUCAAACUCGGCCAGGAAAUCCUACCACCUAGCCUGUUUUGGUGUGAGCUUCUUUUGCGUCUGAGAGCAACUAGUAGACAUAUUGUCAGUCUUGACCACAAACCUCGACCCGAGCAAAUAAUUUUGCCAUGUACGAAAGCAAUGCAUAAUGACAGUCAUCUCCUUCUCUUGCACCAUAUAACGCCACUCCGUCUCAUUUAACUUGCGGCUCUCAAAUGCUAUGUGAUGCUUAUCCUGCAGCAAGACAUCCCCAAUGGCAAAGUCUGAGGCAUUUGUGUGCACCUCAAGUGUCUUAGAAAAGUUAGGUAAAGCCAAGACUGGCUCCUUUAUAACAGCUACCUUAAGGACUUCAAACGCCUUUUGACAAUGCUCCGUCCAAACCUAUGGCUUGUUCUUCUUUAGUAACUCGGUCAAUGGUAUGGCCUUUGCCGAGUAGCCACUGAUGAACCGGCGAUAGUAGUUAAUAAGGCCAAGGAAGGAUCUCAAUUCAGUUACCUUUAUAGGUACCUCCCUCUCAUGGAUAGCGCGUACCUUAGCCUCGUCCAUGUGUGGCUCUCCAUUUCAAAUCACAUGGCUUAAGAAAUGCACCUUUGAUUGUGUAAAUUCACAUUUCUCCCUCUUGAUGUAUAGCUCGUUGUCCCCCAAGACUUGGAAAACCUUCCUUAAGUGCUCCAUGUGCUCCUCCAAUGUAUUGCUCUAGAUGUAGUCUAGGUAGACUACCACGAACUGAUCAAGGUAGGGAUGAAAAAUCUUGUUCAUAAGGUUGAAAAACAUGGCCGGUGCAUUUGUUAAGCCGAAGGGCAUCACCAACAACUCAAAGGCUCCAUAUCUCGUCACACAUAGUUUCUUUGGCUCAUCCCCCUCCACAAUGGGAACCUGGUAGUAGCCCAUGCGUAGAUCCACCUUGGUAAAGUAAUCGGGUUCGGGUACUUAUUCUUCACCAUGACCUUAUUAAGUGCUCAAUAGUCUAUGUGCAAACGCAACAAUCCAUCCUUCUUCUUCUGGAACAAAACUAGUACGCCAAAAGGUUCCUUUGAUGGGCGAAUGUGACCUGCAUCUAGCAACUCUUUUAAUUUUUUCUUGAGCUCCUCUAGCUCGGGCGGUGCCAUAAGAUACAAGGCAAAUGCGUGUGGCUUAUCCCCUAGCUCCAACUCGAUCUUGUGAUCCACCUCUCGCCUAGGCUACAAGUGCUUAGGCAACUCGUCGAGCAUGACAUCUUUUUUCCUCAAGCAACUUCUCUAUGCGAGGCACAGUGUCUCUUGAAAACUCUUUUCUUCCUCCAGACUUGUGAUGGUUUCCACGAACGUCGGCUCCCCCUUCUUGAUCCCCUUGACAACCUGCAUAGCCGAGAGUUUUUCUUGGCUCUAUCCGUGUGGCAUAGUCACUAUUAGUACCAUGCAAUCUCCUUCUCUCUCCAUAACCAAGAGACUUUGGAGGUAGGGGUAAAUCAAAGUAUGACAAUAUCUAAAGAACUCUUGCCCCAGAAUGAUGUCAAAGAUAUCCAUACCGGUUACAGUAAAGUUUUUCAUACCUUUCCAAGUUCCCAAUUUGACACCAACUCCAUUAGCUACCCGCACGAACAUUCGAAUAUUACCAAAGCUUCUCCAAUUUUAGUUCUUAAAAUGGCAGAACCCUAAAAGUCUGAAUCAUUCGAGUUUUCCCCAAGUUCCUGAGUUCAGAGUGUGAGUCGAGCCUCGAGAUAAUGUGUUCGUCUGUUCUUGGUAAGAACAAACGUUCACAUCAUUCCGGUGCUUUAAUCGGUGUUCAAUGUGGUUUAACCCUACAUAAGUAAGUUUUUUUUCUUCUAUUGUUUGAUUUAUCUGUUAUUAAGAUUAGUUGAAUCCAUAAUAAGUAUUUUAGGUUUUGGCUUUAAGUUUUUUGAUUGUUUGUGUUAAUUCAGUAAGGUUUCUUCUCGUUCGAUUAAUUCUUCUUCGUGUUAAUUGAUUCUGUUUGUUUUAGUCUUUAAUUUUUGGUGUAAUUUUGUUCUGUUUUUCUUUGAUUGUCUAGUUUGUUUGAUUUGGUAUUUGAUUUCAAUUAGUUGAUCCAUAGAGGUUACUGCUAAUUUGAUUUUAAUCCUAUUCGUUUAUUGUUAAUUGUUAGUUUACUGAUUAUCGUAGGUUGUAAUUAGAAUUAAUGUGAUUAGUUAAAUUGAUUUAUUUUUUUAAGAUUGGUUUGGAUAUAGCUGAAUACCCCAGCCCUUGAUUAACUAACCUUGGUUAGUUUGGACUAAGGUUAACUAGUUUGAGGGUUAGCUUGGUUGGUUUGGUAAAUUUUAGAUUAAGUAAAGAGUAGUAUAGGCAUUCCUAAAUAGAGAAUAAUGCUGUAGUUGAAACUAGAACCCCCUAGACUCUUCUAGAAGAGGAUUUUAGUUUAAAUUUCAGUAACGUAGUGUUAAAACUUGAGAACCAAGUCAUAACUUUAGGGACUAACUAGCUAAAACUGAAAAUAAAAGAGGGACUAAAGGUGUGAACAAAAAUCUGAGAGGAUCCCUCAUCUUUUACCUAUAAAAGGUAGUCUAUACCGCCUUCCUUCACAAGUUUUGAACAUCCAAAAAUUUGAAUUUCAAAAUUCAAAAACCAAAUCUGUAAUCUUAGAGUUAAGAAAGUUUAUUUUAGAUCUUAGUUCUUCAAAAAACAAAAAAAACAGCACAAAAAACUCCAAAAAUUAUCGGUAUAUUGAAGUUUCCUUACAACAAUUUCAACUUCCAACUCUUAAUUUGAAUUCCUAGUUUAUCUAAGGUCCAAAAUAGCUUGAACUUUCCCGGUUUUCAGUAAUUAAGGAUUUUAAAAGUUUCUGGAGUCAACUUCGAGCUAAAUGGCCUGUUUUCUAGGUUUCGAGCUUAACGUUGAGUUGUUGAUUUCCUGUUGAAUUGCAUUUGCUAUUCUGUUGUCUGUUUGGGAUGAUUUUCACCUUUUGCUUUACUUCAAUUUCAAGUAUUCUUCAAUCCCAAAUGAUGUGUGAAGAGCUGAAUCAACAAGUGUAUUCAAAUUAUUGAAUAAAUGACAAAUCGCUCAAGAUAAUUUCAUGUUUGGUUUACUUGUGUGCAUAUUAGUUUACAUGUUAGAUUAUAAGUAGUAUUUGAAAUGUAAUGAGCCUGGGCUUUCAGUGUUAUGUAAUAACUGGACUACUUUUCCACUUCUUUCAGAAAAUGUACAAGUAAGAUCUUCAAUAGUGCUUGCCUAGCGUACCUGAUUUCUAGUCGUAAUAUUUUGUUAGUUGAAAUUUAACAGGGAAUCUAACUUGAAUUAUAAUACUAGUUAAUCAACCUCUUAUUUGAUCUUAUGAAUUGAACAUUGAAGUUAUUUGCUGGUUUAAACUUAAGAAUUUAAUUAUCUCACAUGAUUCACAUGUAAUGGACGAGUUUGCUUUCAAUUAUGCUAGUAAGAUUAUAUAUUUCAGGCCUGUUUGUGAAAUUGAUUCCUGCUAGUCUACGAAGUCCAUAUGAUAAACACUGGUAUGCUAUUAGUAUAUGAAAUGUUAUCUUCAAUUUUAAUUCGUGUUUUGUAUAAAUCAGAAUUUAAGUUCUGAUACUAGCCAUUAACAUAGUAAGUCAAGCUUCCAAAUUGGUUAGUAGUGAUGUGUGGAAAGUCUAGGCCGUAGAUUUGGGCCUAAUUUAGCCAGUCACACAAUCAAUGCUCUGAAUAUCCACAUGCCCGCCUCAAACCAUUCAUUUUCGCUAGAUUGAGGGACUGCGAAGUCUUGGGCCCAAAUCCUAGUUUUCUUUACUUUUGUAUUGGGUUCGUUUGGGGCCCAAAAUUCUGAACGAUUUGUUUAAGCAAAAGUGAAAUAGUAUUUCAUUCCCAUGGACUUCUUUGAGGCCCAACGUGCUGAAAGUCCCAUUUUACUUGUUUAAAUUUUGGGCUUAAGGCCUGAGCCUCGUUGAAUACUCCUAAUAAUAAUCGAUUUGCAUACCUAAUUAAUUGGGCCUUCUAGAGACAAUACUUAAUAGAAAAUCGUAGUUCCUUCAGGUUGGCCUUUAAAAUAAUUUGAGGUGCGCCGCGCCAAAUAAAAUCGCAAAUUGCGUGGCCCUCUUUUAUUACUUCAUUUAAAACAUAUUUAGACCUUGUGUCCCGCAAAGUUAAUAAUAUGCUAAUUGCUUUAGGUAUAGCAUUUAAUAAUAUUAACUUUUUAAACUCGGGUGCACAUUUAUUUGAUCCAAAUUCAAAUCUCAACAGUAUUAGAAUAUGUCGAAAAUUACGGGUGUAUUUAUGUGACGUGGUUUGAGACGUGUUUUAACAAUGUUGUAAAUUCCUGAAAAUUAAUUCAAAGCGGUAAGUAAUUUAAAUUGCACUUUAAAUUGAAACAUGUAUAAAAAUAAGAUAUUUAGCCAUUUAUAAUAGUUUAAGAGACUGUGCUAGAACCACGAGAUUUGGGGGUGCCUAACAUCUUCCCUUGGGCGAACUGAAUUCCUUAGUCAGAAUUUUUUGUUCGCAUACUCCAUUCGAGAAGCAUAAAUUUUCUUGAUUUGGGAUUCAAGAAAAAUCGCUGACUCUGGACUCUAAAAGACAAACCUUUCCCAAGUGGUGACUCUGAAUUAAAUAAAUAAUCCUAUUUCAAAUAAUGUCACUUAAAAUAGAAAAACUCCCUUAUACAUUAUCCUUCGGGGUAAGUGUGUAAAAAAGGAGGUGUGACAGCUCUAGCGACUCUGCUAGGGAUGCAAACCCAGAACUCUGGUUCAGGGUUUAAGAAUUCGUGCUUAGAAUAACUGUUAUACUGGGCUUAAUCUAAUUUUCCUACAUGUUCCAUUCUAAAUGUGGUAAAUGCUUUACCGCUUUGAUAUUAUCUGAAUUGUAUAUAUAAACUGUGACGAAAUCCUUCUUUUCUCAUCUUCGGGAAUGUGCUCACUGAUCGAGAUUCCCUAUUAUGUUAGUGUCAUACCUUAAAGUAAGAAACUUGCCGAAAAAGUUACUAAGCCGGAUGGACUUUUCGUUUCUGGUACGUAGCCCCCUCCUCGACUCGAGUUGUCCGCUUCGGUACACAGUCUAGAACAUAUGCCCAGGUUUUGAACCUAGAAUAACUCGACCUCAUGCCGAAUCCCUAGUUGGAACGCUUGUUUGCAUCACAUGAAUUUGACUUAGGGGACUCAACAUAGGGAUUGGGUUCGUCUAGGACAUGCAACCUGAAAUAUAAAAGACCAUCCUGAUGCAUCCUACUUAUUUUUCGUACAUUUAUUUGCUUCGGAUCUGCAUGUUGACCGGCUUGUAAAUAAUGGGAGAAAUCUGGAAAAAGAAAAGGAAAAGGAAUAAUAGUGUUAGGGUUGAGUGAGUUGGUCACCUGUUUUGAAAAUUCAAUGCCCAAAUGGUACUGAAACUCUGUCGGAUUUUUUUAGAAAACGAAAGAAAAGAAAGUGUCUUCAAAAAUAGUUGGUUUUGUCAAAAUUGAUUGAACUACGCCAGUUUGAUUCUCACCGGAUGUGGGAUACGUAGGCAAACCCCCAUCGGAUCCAACUUUCCUUUUGCAAAAAUUGCCAAAAAAUAACAAAAGGUUUAGUUUUUGUCACAAAUAAGUCGGGUGAUGCCAUUCUUGUUUAAACAAGCCGAAUAUCCCCAAAAGGGCGUUAGAAGGUUGUUUUUUGCAAGAAUAGCUACCUUGGAUCAUAUUCAACGGUUAGCAGGCACAACCUCAAAAUCUUCUUCCCCGAAGUGUAAAAGACCGUAUCAUCAAAGCCAGGAUUUUUAUUUUGAAAUAAAAGUUUAAGAAAAAUUGAAAAUUCCGAAAAUUGUUUGUUUACUUUUUGCGUUUAUUUUCACGAACUAUGCUUGGUUCUAUUCAUGAGGGUCAAGAUAUCUAGGCAAGCUCCAUAAGAUUCAAUCAUAGCUCGAAGAGAAAAAAAAGGAGGGAAUAAAAUAAAAGAAAAACAAGAGAGGAAAAGAAAUAAAAAGAGAAAAAAUAAGAAAGCAAAAGAAAAGAAUGAUGGCAAGAAAAAAGGCAAAGUCGCGAAUGAAAUAAAAGAGAAGAGAAAGAGAAACGAAAAAUGUGAAAAAUGAGAAAAAGAAAGAAAAAAAGAGAGUGGAAAUCAAAGGGAUGAGGAAAGCCGGGAUGACGCAUGCAACCGUGGCAAACAUGUGGAAACCCAUUUAACUGUAUAGGUGCAUCACGCUCCAACAUGCAAUUACCUAUAUGUUAUGUGUCUCAAACUAACCAUUGUUGCUGUCACACUCUAGUCCAGAUUUUAUUAGAAACAGUGGUUGGUUUUCGUGGUAAACUGGAUUCACAUACCUAUUUUACCAGAUCAAAAGGUAGCACGGAAAUGUCGUCAGAAAUGACCUUGCCAGCAAUUCCCAUAUCGGAAGAUAGCCCAAUCUCGGGCAUCCCGGCCUCAGAGACUGCAGCGCUGAGGGAAAUAGGAUCCUCCAUCUCCGAGUCAUGGAGAUGUGGGAUUCAUGGACAAACGGAAGGGAGCCUCCGGUUGCCAUCCUUGAUUUCCCGAGCUCUUCCCUAGGUCAGGGGGUACAUCCAAUAUUCCCAUCAGUCAUCCAAACAUCUCAUUGGGACAACCUACCAUACCGACUCAUUUUGUUGGAGCACCUUCUGAGGUCCACCCCCAGGUGUUCAUAUUUGGAACAGUCCCCAAUAUCAUUACUGCUCUUCCAUGUAUGGCCACAACACAGACUGCGCUGCCUAGAACCACUUUUGAUCCUCGGCCUUUACAUUCCAAAAACCACUUAGCUUCCUCAGUACCCUACCUACACUUAUUCUCAGCCAUCCCCAUGUGAUUUCAUAACGGGACAGGACAAAACUCCCAAGAAUCCAGAACAGGAUGAAAUAGCAAAAAGAUGAGAACCCUCGAGCAGAGCCUCAAAGACAUACUGGGUCUGAUUGGGCAGAAAAGUGUGUCAUAAACUGAUCUAUACAUAUUCCCUCACGUGCAUUUGCCCACAGGAUUCAAAACUCUGAAUUUCAAAAAACACGAUGUUCAUGGUGAUCCUAUUGCUCAUCUUAAGAAGUACCGCAAUCAAUUGUGUGGGGCUGGCGGAAAUGAGGAAUUGUUAAUGGCCUACUUUGGAGAAAUCUUGGUAGGUAUCGCUUCAGAAUGGUACAUGGAUCAGGAUAUUUCUUGUUGGCACAUCUGGGACGGUCUCGUAAGAGACUUUGUUAGACAGUUCUAAUACAAUAUAGAGAUUUCUCCGGACCAGAACUUGUUGCCAAAUCUAUAAAAGAAAUCCUCUGAAAGUUUUAGGGAAUAUGCAAUCAAAUGGCGUGAACAUGCGUCAAAGGUAAAGCCUCCAAUGGAUGAGGUGGAAAUUGUCACGGUAUUUCUUCAAGAUCAGGAGGCUGAUUAUUUUUAGAAUAUGAUGUCAGCUAUGGGCAAACUGUUUGUAGAGGCUAUUAAAGUUGGUGAAAUGGUGUAGAAUGGACUAAAACGGACAGAAUUCUGAGCCAAUCGGCUAUUAAAGCAACCUCCUAUGCCAUCCAAAGCGGGUCUAGAGGAAUGGAAAAUGGUAAGAAGAAAGAAGAAACAUCUAUGGCCGCUUCGAGUGCCAGAAGACAUCACACUCCUAGACCCAUGUUUGCAGAAAGAACCUCUCAGCACUAUUACCCUCAUCAAGACGUGGCCUAUGCUCUUCAACCGUAUGUGGUCAUGAAUGCUCAACCUUUUGUACGACCGCAACAAUAUGCCAAUAGAAACUAAGAUCCAUUUCAAAGAAACCAUCCUUCUUACCCAAACCACUAUAACCCACGUCCUCCACAAAAUAACUUCUGUCCUUCACAAAAUAAGUUCCAUCCUCGGGAACCACCCUAGAGACCAAACUUUACACCAAUCGGUGAAUCCAACUCCAGUCUGUUCCCUAAGCUUGUUCAAAUGAAUUUGCUGCAUCCCAUACCUCCAAACAAGGAAAACCCGGAAUCACCCUCCUUUCAGCGGGGCGUCUGAUAUGCUUAUCAUUUAGGAGCUAAGGGGAACGAUAUAGAAAAUUGUUGGACGUUAAAAAGAGCCAUGGAAGAUUUGAUAGAGCAAGGAAAGAUAGUGCUAAGGGAUGAGUAUGUCCCCAUUGUGACGAAUAACCCACUGUCAGCCCACAACAAUGGUGCAGUAAUUGGAAUAAUGUGCGAAGAUAAAGAAUUUGACUCGGCACUAAAGGCCAUAAUUUCUAGGGGUGAACAUAGACCGGGUUGGUCCGGAUUUUACAAUUACCAAACCAAACCAAUUGUGUCGGGUUAUUAAAUCUAAAGACCAAACCANNNNNNNNNNNNNNNNNNNNNNNNNNNNNNNNNNNNNNNNNNNNNNNNNNNNNNNNNNNNNNNNNNNNNNNNNNNNNNNNNNNNNNNNNNNNNNNNNNNNNNNNNNNNNNNNNNNNNNNNNNNNNNNNNNNNNNNNNNNNNNNNNNNNNNNNNNNNNNNNNNNNNNNNNNNNNNNNNNNNNNNNNNNNNNNNNNNNNNNNNNNNNNNNNNNNNNNNNNNNNNNNNNNNNNNNNNNNNNNNNNNNNNNNNNNNNNNNNNNNNNNNNNNNNACAAUAAAAAUAUAAUAAAAUUAUGUACUAUAAAUAUUGCUAAUUAAAAAGUCAUAAUAAAAAUAAACAUAAUCUAAAAGCACUAAUUCAUGCUAAACUGAUAGACUAAUAAGGGAGUAUUAAUUAUAUGCCUAAAAGCUAAGAAAAGUAAAAAUAAGUUAUGUAUUUUUAUCUAAAUUAUUGCAAAAUACAAAAUAGACAUUUAAUACAUUCCCGUUCGUAAUAUUGAAUUGAAUGUCUUUUGUUAGCAUUAGUAUUGAUUGCUAGCGUUAUUUAAUUUAUUAAUAUUAAUGGCUAUAAAACUUAUUGGAGCAUUCAAAUGUUCUAAAUCAAACCUUGAAAUAAUACCUUAAUAGAUAAAAUUAUGAAUCUUUUUAAGAAAUAUUUAUAAAUUACAUUACAAUAAGUAUAUUUAUAUAUAAAAUAUAUCUAAAAUUGCUAUAUAUGUAAUGUUGGGUUGGUUUGGUUUCGGUUUGACUUUCUUUAGUUAAAACCAAACCAACCCAAUUAUGGUCGGGUUUUUUUUCCAACACCAAACCAAGUCAAACCAAACCAUAGUCGGGUUUUUUUUCUCGGUUUGUCUCGGAUUAUCGGGUUGGUGCGGUUUAUCGGUUUUCUUUGUACACCCCUAAUAAUUUCCAUUGCUGAUGUUGAGAGAAACCCAAAAGUUACCCCGAAGCAAGAUAAAGGGGAAAAGAAGAACAAAGUCAUCAAUACGGAACCAGAAAAGAAAGAUGAAACGCGAACAAAGGCAAUGCCUCCCAAAGAGGGAAUUUUCUAGGUCCCACGGGGCCGUGAUGAAAAGUAGUUGACCUUGAGUCCACCAAAGAGAUUUGAACUAUGAAGAGGAUCCCAGAUGUACGUACCCAAGGGAGUUUAUGUUGUGAGGGGGACAAUUAAGCCAUCAUGGCCGAAUUAGCUCGUGGUUAUUGGACGUGCAGCACAAAGCCCGUGACAGAUCCUACUGAAGUGCCAUGAAAUUACCAAAAAAUAGUGGUUACAUAUAAAGGCAAAGAGAUCUCAGGGGCACCACAAGAAAACCGUCCCUUGUAGAAGUAUUCUAACAUAAAAGAAGUGAAAAACACUACCAAAAGGCGUUUCCCACCCAAGAAACCUGUAAGGGCCGAAGAGGCAGAAACUUUCUUUCAGAAAAUAAAAGCGGCCGUCUAUGAGGUUGUUGAUCAACUGCGGAAGUAUCCUGAACAAGUGUCCUUGCUUUCAUUGCUGAUGAAGUCUCCCAAACACCAGAAGGUUUUAGUGAAGACUUUGAAUGAAGCAUACGUGCCAGCUGAAACUUCGGUGGAGCAAUUAAAAAGAAUGGCGGAAAGAUUCUUCGCUAUCAAUCAGAUUUCAUUCAGUAAAAAUGACUUGCCUCCUGAAGGGGAUGCUCACAACAAGUCUUUGCACUUAACUGUAAAAUGUGAGGGAUACUAUGUGAAGCGGGUCAUGGUUGGCGGAGGUUCUGGGGUGGAAAUUUUCCCACUCUCUACAUUGCAUCGCAUUAAAAUUAACAUUGAAAGGAUUCGUCCCAACAACGUAUGCGUGCGGGCUUUCGAUGGAAUUAAAAGAUACACAAUUGGAGAAAUUGACCGGAUUUUGACCAAUGGUGGAAUUCGAGGUGAAUUUCCAAGUGGUAGACAUGGACACGUCUUAUAAUUUUCUUCUGGGAGGGCCCUAGAUCUAUGCCGUAGGAGCUGUACCCUUUACCCUCCACUAGAUGGUAAAAAUGUGAACAUGAGGACCAGGAGAUUAUGGUCCACGGAGAGGAUGAACAGUGAUCAAUCUAUUGGGACCCAUAUGUACCAUGCCUAGAAGAGAGAGAAGGCAGGGAACACAUAGUUUACCAAGCUUUUGAAGUUGUGGUGGCGGACCAACAUGAAGAGGGAAAUCUGUGCCCCUAACCUUUCUUAUCCAAUGCCUCGAUUGUGGUGGCCAAGGAAAUGAUUAGAAAUGGUUUCAAGCCAGGAAAAAGGACUCGGAAAAGCUUUGCAAGGAAUAUCUGAGCUAGUGACUCUACCUAUAACUGAAAUGUUCUUCGGGAUAGGUUUCCUGCCUACCCCAGAUGAAACGAAGUGGGCAAAUGAGAGAAAGAAAGAGGGAUUGGUCCUGCCAUAUCCACUGCCACAUCUGUAUGAGACCUUUGUUAAGCCGAAGUACAGUGAAAAGGAAGAUGAUAAGGUUUUCAUGGCUGAAGAAUUUGAGGAAAUAUGUGGGGCAAUUGGAUAAGUACUCUACGAAACCCAGAUGGUUCAGUCGGGAGUGGGCACUAGCACCGUUGAGGUGCUAUUUAUGGGACCAAACACCAAGCUUCAAAAUUGGAAGGCUACGCCAUUCCCAAGCAGGCGGGAGUACCGGUAGACCUGUCCUGCCACUUAUUCUGCACCUCGAGUUAUCCCAGGGUGUAACUCGGAUAUUUCUUUAGUUUUUGUCUUUAAAUUUCCAGAUAUAAACCCUGUUAUCUUCAAAUUUCCAAGAAAUGAAAUCAAUAUUUCAUCAUUCAUUUUUCUUUAUUCUUUCUGAUUUUGCUAUUUUUUAUUUUUCAUUUCUUUUGUUUAAUUCCAAUAAUGCGGCUUUAAAUAACAUGACAUUUUUGCGGACUUCAUUCUCAAAUGCAAUCACGCUGUCUAAUUGUGAAAUAGUGAACCAAGGACCGGAAUAUGAUGAAGAAGAGGAUUUUAGGGAAAUAAAUUGUGAACUGAAACAAGUUGAGAAUAAACCUAAGACAAAAUUGAAUGAUACAGAGCAGUUAACUUGGGGACUUCUGAAAAAAUCCGUGAAACCAAAGUAAGCACUUACACGGAUGAGAAAACUAGGGAUGCAAUAAUCCAACUCAUGUUUGAGUUUAAGGAUGUGUUUGCUUGGUCUUAUGAUGAUAUGUCAAGGAUGAGUGUUGAUCUAAUGGUUCAUAAGUUGCAAAUUUACCCUAAUUGCCCUCCAGUAUAGAAAAAAUAAAGAAAGUUCAAAACUGACAUUAGUGAUAAAAUCAAGGAAGAGAUCACGAAACAAUUGAACAUAUGGGUAAUUCGGGUGGUCAGGUAUAUACAUAGUUGGCUAAUGUGGUCCCAGUUCCAAAGAAAGAUGGGAAGACUCGGGUGUGUGUUGAUUACAGGGAUUUGAACAAGGCAGUCCUAAUGACAAUUUCCCUUUGCCCAAUAUCCAUAUCCUUGUUGAUAACCGCGCCAAGCAUGAGAAACAGUCCAUCGUGGAUUGCUAUGCAGGAUAUCACCAGGUGCUGAUGAAUGAUGAGGACGUUGAAAAGACAGCUUUCACCAUGCCUUGGGGUACACAUUGUUAUCGAGUUAUGCCGUUUGGUCUGAAGAAUGCUGGGGUGACUUAUAUGAGGUCCAUGACCAUAAUUUUCCAUGAUAUGAUGCAUCAAGAGAUAGAGGUAUAUAUAGAUGACGUAAUCAUCAAGUCUCGAACUUAGGAUGACCAUGUUCGAGAUCUGAGAAAGUUCUUCGAGCGGUUGUGAAAGUAUGAUCUGAAGCUAACCCCAGCCAGAUGUGUAUUCAGAGUCCAGUCGGGCAAAAUUCUAUGUUUCAUAAUUAGUAGGAGAGGUAUCGAGUUACACCUAACAAAAAUGAAGUCUAUCCAAGAUUUGCCUCCUCCAAGAACCAAGAAAUAUGUGAUGAACUUAUUAGGCCGAUUAAACUAUAUCAGCCGGUUCAUAGCUCAAUUGACUUCCACAUGUGAGCGUAUAUUCAAGUUACUGAAGAAAGAUGCAGCAAUCAAGUGGACAGAUGAAUGUGAAGAAGCCUUCGACAAGAUCAAAGAAGAUUUGUCAAAUUCUCCAGUCUUGGACUGGAGCUAGGGAGGCCUCUUUUCUUGUAUCUGACGGUCUUAGAAAACUCUUUUGGUUGUGUCAUUGGGAAACUCGAUGUAACUGGGAAGAAAGAACAGGCGAUCUAUUACUUGAGAAAGAAGUUCACCAGUUAUAAAGCUAAAUAUACUCUGUUGGAUGGAACCUGUUGUGCUUUGGCUAGGGUUGCUCCAAAGCUAAGACAUUAUCUGCAAGCCCACACCACUUAUCUCAUAACCAAGUUAGAUCCUUUGAUAUACAUAUUCCAGAAACCGAUGCCCACAGGGAGGUCAGAAAAAUGGCAGAUUUUGCUCACUGAAUUUGACAUAGUCUAUGUCACUCGCACGACGAUGACAGCUCAGGCUUUGGCAGAUCAUAUGGCUGAAAACCUGAUUGAUGAGGAAUACCAACCAUUGCACUUACUUCCCAAAUGAAGAGGUAAAUUCAAUAGAAGCAAACUCGGAAGAUAUUCAUGCUUGGAAAAUGUUCUUUUAUGGGGCAGUAAACGCCAAAGGGUAGGAAUUGGGGAAAUCUUGAUCUCACCCACCGGUCAGCACUACCCGGCCACCGCUAGGCUUCGAUUUUACUGCACAAAUAAUACUGCUGAGUAUGAAGCCUGUAUCAUGGGUAUGAAUAUGAAUAUUAUGGGGGAUUUAAAUUUGAUUAUCCGUCAAGCCCAAGGAUAAUGAGAAACCCGAGAUGUUAAGCUUAUUCUCUAUCGCCAAUAUGUUGAAGAUCUCAGCAAGCGGUUCAAGUCAAUAGAGUUCAGGUUUAUCCCUCGGUGUCACAAUGAACUAGCUGAUGCACUUGCUACUCUAGCCUCGAUGUUGCCCUACCCAGGAAAUGCUCACAUUGAUCCCUUAGAAAUCCAAAUCAGGGAAUACAUGGUUAUUGUAGUAUGGUUGAAGUAGAACUAAACAUCCAACCACGGUACCAUGACAUCAAAAGGUUCUUAAAAACACAAGAUUACCCCGAACAAGCUACUGGAGAUCAAAGGAGAACCAUUAGACGGCAAGCGAAUGGUUUCUUUUUGAGUGGUGAUGGCUUGUACAAAAGGGCCCCCGAUCUCAAAUUUUUAAUAUAUGUUGAUGCCGAGAAAGCUGGAAGAAUCAUGCAUGAAGUGCACACAGGAGUAUGCGAACCCCACAUGAAGGGGUACAUUUUGGCAAAGAAAAUUCUCUGAGCUGGGUAUUACUGGAUAACUAUGGAAAAUGACUGCUUUAGCUUUGUCCGGAAGUGCCAUCAGUGUCAGGUGCAUGGUGAUUUGAUUCAUGCACCUCCAACAAAACUGCAUCCCAUGUCAACACCUUGGCCAUUUGUUGCUUGGGGCAUGGAUGUUAUUGGGCCGAGCGAACCGAAAGCCUUAAAUGGGCAUAGAUUCAUACUGGUUGCCAUUAAUUACUUCAUGAAGUGGGUUGAAGCAAUUACUCUCAAAUCAGUCACCAAGAAGGCUGUGGUAGAUUUUGUGCAUUCUAAUUAUUAUAUAUCAUUUUGGCAUUCCUGCAACUCUCAUUACGGAUAAUGCUGCAAACCUGAAUAGUCGUUUGAUGGAAGAAGUAUGCGAACAAUUCAAAAUAAGCAUAGUAAUUCUACUUCUUAUCGGCCUAAAGCCAAUGGUGCUGUUGAGGCAGCAAACAAUAACAUCAAGAAGUUUCUGAGAAAGAUGAUUCAGAGCUCCAGAUAAUGGGAUGAAAAUCUUCCUUUUGCAUUAUUGGGGUAUCGUACUACAGUGUGCACAUCGGUAGGAGCAACCCCAUACCUGUUGGUUUAUAGAACUGAGGCUGUUAUACCCACAGAGGUAGAAAUCCCUUCGCUCUGGAUAAUCGUUGAAGUAGAGAUUGAGGAUAGCGAGUGGGUAAAGACUUGGAUGGAACAAUUGUCUUUAAUUGACGAAAAACAGAUGGCCGCAGUUUGUCACGGGCAGUUGUACGAACAAAGAAUGGCCUGCGCUUGUAACAAGAAAGUACCACCCAUGAAUUUUGAAGUGGGAAAACUGGUUUUAAGGCGUAUCCUUCCUCAUCACUAGGAGGCAAAAGGAAAGCUUGCUCCUAAAUGGAAGUGUCCAUACAUCCUUAGAAAGAUAUUACCGAGAGGAGCAUUGUAUCUGGGUGGUAUCGAAGGAAAUGAUCCCAAGGCAACCGUGAAUGCGGAUGCUGUAAAGAGGUAUUAUGUCUAAGUGUUCUGCGGUAAUUACUUCUGUGCAGUUGAGAUGAUGAAGGCUUUCAUUCCUAUUACCCAAACACUAUCAACCUUCCGCAAACCCUUUGAGCUGGUUACCAUUCUUUUUGAUUACCCUCUUUGGAACCCCAAAAUACUAUUGGAAAAAGAAGAAAAAAAAAAGAAAAGAAAAAAAGAAAAAAAAGAAAAAGAACAAAAAACAAAACAAAAUAAAAACAACAAAAACAAAUGUUUCGUGAACUGUGUUCGACUUGAUUCCGAAUGGAUACGUAGGCAGCUUCUCUUUGGGGUUCAGUCAUACCUAAACAAAAAUUCAAAUUCCUCGAAAAGUGAAACUGGGGUAGAUGUUAUAAUGAUUUGGCCAUGAGCCCACCAAAAAGGUUCCAAAGUUGUAGUUCCGUCCAAAAUUCUUUUUACCCAAACCCUUGUGCAAGUCAUUUUGAUCAGUUGGCAAACAUGUGGGAACUAAAAAACAUCAUUGUUGAAAUUUGAUGCAUUCUAAAUUGAGAGAAAUAAAAUGAGAGAGUCUUAUCGGUAAAAAUCUUUGGGCACCAUAAGGCGACGAGAGUAGGGAAAUUGAAAAUAAGAGAGUACAUUUGGUGAAAACUCGUAAAGAGCACCAUCGGGCGAUGGUAAGAAGAGAAAUGAGAGAGGUCGAUUGGUGAAAUCCUGCAAAGGGUGCCGCUGGCCGAAAGGAAGACAUAUCCUAUCACUGAAAGAGUCCUGGAAAGGGUCCAAGAUUUUGAAAUAUGAAGUAAUGAGUUAAGAGAAGUUGGGAACGUUUCUGCAGUUCAGACAUCAAGGUCAAGCAGCAUGUCAUGUCCAUUUGAGGCCAGCGUGCAACACAGAUAAGUCCUUCUCUUCCCUCAAAAGGGACGCUUCUAUUUAAAUUCAUUCUCUUGAUCUCUGUAUACUUUUUCCUUGAAUCCGUUUCGGCUUAACUCUGAUUCCGAAACUGUUACAAAGAAAAGAUGGCAGGACUAGUUGUUACUAGUCUCUCCCUCGCAAAAGAUAAAGAGAAGCACCCAGCCUUAGCAGAUGUGUUAAGCCAAUCCUGACUGGCCGUGAUUGGUAACGCUUUCAAAGACAUAACAGUGGAAAGGAAAGAAAGUCGAAGACAAAGGUCUUAAGAGCAGAAUAAAGUGAAAAGGCCAGAGCCCCAUGCGGGCAAGCUAUAUGAGAUCCUGAAAGUUGAGUCUUGUCGGUUGGAAAGAGAUUCAUCCUCAAAACCAGCAAGCACCAAAGUUCUCAACGAAAACUGGGCCGGGAUCAAGCAAUUGAGAUGAUCAAGGCCACAAAACCAACUACCAUUUCAAACUAACAAAUUGUUCUUUGUUUGGAAAGUUGAAACAAGUGUAGUUCGAAGCAACCAUGUAAGAAGCAGGUGCAACCCAAAAGGGAAAAAAAUGCACGAGCAUUGAACAUCGUUGCAGCAGGGAACCGACCAAAAAGGGAAGUUUCCCCAAAUUCUUUCAUGUUUUGCACUAAAUAAUCAAAAAGAGAAGAAGAAAAAGAAAAAGUGAAAAAGAAAAAUCCCCAAAAAUCAUGGUAGUAUAGGGCACCCAUUUUCUAGAUAUUCGUCAUAACUCGUGGACUUUCCCGGCAUAAUCCGUAGACCUUUUCACCAAAACCCGAUGACUUUCCCGGCAUAACCUGUGGACCUUUUCCGGCAUAACCUAAUGACUUUCCCGGCAUAACUCGUGGACAUUUUUCGGUAUAAUCCAAUAACUUUCUCGGCAUAACCCGUGGACCUUCCCGGCAUAACCCGUGGACUUCUCCGUCAUAACUCGAUGACUUAUCCGGCAUAAUCCGCUGACCUUCCCAGCAUAACCCGUGGACUUUUCCAGCAUAACUCGAUGAAUUUCCUGAUAAAACCCGUGGACCUUUCCGGCAUAGUCCGAUGAUUCUCCCGGCAUAACCCGUGGACCUUUCCGGCAUAGCCCGAUGACUUUCCCGGCAUAACCCGUGGAUCUUUCCGACGUAACCCAAUGACGUUUCCGGCAUAAUACGUGGACCUUUGCGGCAUAACUCGAUGACUUUCCCAACAUAACCCGUGGACCUCCCUGGCAUAACCCAAGGACCUUUUUAUUUUUCAGAAUAACCUGAUGACUUCCCGGCAUACCUGUGGACCUUUCCAUUGUAACCCGAUAACUUUCCGACAAAACCCGUGGACUUCUCCAGCAUAACCCGAUGACUUUUCCGACAUAACCUGGCCAUUUCCCAGUAUAACCUGGCUUCAUUUCCUAAGAAUACACAAUCCUGAUUUUGUCACUUAGAUAUGUGUCAUAACUAACUCACCAAAUUUUCCUAGUGAAAACUGUGGCAGAAAAAAUUCGUUUGUUUGUUAUUUUGGAUGUCUUAAGAAGGUCUGACCUCGAGGCACAAGGUUCAAGAUAACAAAUAAUCAGUCUCUAUUACGAAUAAAGAAAAGAGGAAAAUAAAGAAGAAUAAAAAAUUGAAUUCAAAAUGUCGAAGUAAACAGAGAUGCAGACCGCUCAAAAAGUGAUUGAAGUCACGAGCUCCGCCUGUUGUUUUUACACAAUGCUGAAGAAAGAAACAACACCUACAACUGGCGAGCAUCAAGAUUCAGAUCAGACAAAAUCAGCUAAGACUCAAGAUCAAGUUUUCCAGAGAAUUAUAGAUAGGAAUCUUGUAACUCAUAGUUGAUAGGCAUAGCUACCUUAGCUUUGAUUUUCUUUUUGUUGUAAUAUGGAAGUCAACAAGCGGUAGCAGCAACAGCAGUGAAAUCAUAGCUUCUGGUAGUCCCAGCUACCAACAUUUUUGCAACUGCACUGACCUAAUUCCUUUAUAGCCAAGGAUAUUUAGGUAACCUUUGAAGUAGGGUUCGGUCAGACAGUUUUCAAAAAUGCUUCUCAUGGAGUGCCAAGCAAGCAAAAAUCUCUCAUGAUUUCUCAUUUAUCUUUGCCCGAAAAUCCUUCGUGUCUCCGAGCAAAGAGGGGCAGCUGUGAGCAUGUGAUUUUUUCCUCGUUUAAUGAAUCCUAUAAAAUUUAUUAGAAUUAGGAAUUUUCUUUUAUUGUCUGAAUUUUAAGAAAUUAAUUGUAUGGUUUUGUAUUUUGUUUGCAUUUUUGUGAGCAUUAUUAAUUGAUAUAAUUUGUAAAAAAAUACAAAAUAGUACGCUUGCAUUUAGGACCUCAUUUAAGUAUUUUUAUUAGUCAAUUAAUAUUACAAAUAUACAAAAAUGGUUCUUAUGCAUUUCUACUUUUUAUUUUUUAAAAUUUGCCUUAGUUUUCUUUUAAAUUAGGAAUUAGUUAAUAUUGGUAAUUAAUUAGUAUAAUUUAAGAGUCAAUUUGAGUCUUUUAUUUUUAAUUUUGCAUUUAAUAAAAAUCAGAACACAUAUAAAAAAAGAAAGAAAGAAAGGAAAAACAAAUAAAAGGAAAAAGAAUUAAAAGAAAGUACAAAUAAGAGGGUAGGCUUACUUGUAUUUGGACCUGUUAUCAUACCAGUCCAAACAAAUUUCCCCAGACCCACAAAAUUUGACCCAAAGUCUGUCUUAUCGCAGCCAAGUUCCUAGUCUGGUCCAGACCCCUCACAUAUGAAACGACGCCAUUUCAGGGUCCUUGAAUCAUGACCGUUGGAUCUCAUCAAUCCAACGACCUGGAACUAACAAGGUUCCUGUUAUAUAAGUGUCGGAGACCUACCCGACCCCCCCAAGUCUCUCUCUCUCUCUCUUACCCCACUUUCUUCAGAGACGCUCUACCAUCCUCCGCUGGAAAUCGCCUCACGGUGGUGGCCGUUCACCAAAACUCACCAAAUUAACACCCCGAGUUACCCUCACUCUCCUCUUUCCAAACCUCAAACCCCAUCCCUCAAAUCCCAACGAAGCUUCUCAAAUAUUGAAUCAAAAUUCCGUCCAAAACACUAAAUCUCCCAAACCUAACCAAAUUAACACCACAUAGCCUCCUCAUCUCCCUCUUUAUGAAUCCAUGGUUUAUAGCCUUUAAAUAUCAUCAAAGCUUCUCGAAUUUCAUAUCUUAGAACGGCAGAAUCCUAAAAGUCUGAGUUACUUGAGUUUUCCCUUUUUUCCCGAGUCAAGAGUUUGAUUCGAGCCUCGAGAUAAUGUGUUCGUUUGUUCUUGGUGAAGAACACACGUUCGCAUUAUUUCGGUGCUUGAAUCGGCGUUCAGUGUUGUUUAACCCUACAUAAGUAAGUUUUCUAUUCUUUUAUUGUUUGAUUUAUCUGUUAUUAAGAUUAGUUUAAUCCAUAAUCAGUAUUUUAGGUUUCAGCUUUAAGUUUUUUGAUUGUUUGUGUUAAGUUAGUAAGGUUUUUCUUGUUCUAUUAAUUCUUCUUCGUGUUAAUUGAUUAUGUUUGUUUUUGUCUUUAAUUUUUGGUUUAAUUUUCUGUUUUGCUUUGAUUUUAUGGUUUUUUGAUUUGGUAUUUGAUUUUAAUUAGUUGAUCCAUAGAGGUUGCUGCUCAUUUGAUUGUAAUCCUGUUUGUUUAUUGUUAAUUGUUAGUUCACUGAUUAUCAUAGGUUGUAAUUAGAAUUAAUGUGAUUAGUUAAAUUGAUUUUUUUUAAAGAUUGGUUUUGAUAUUGCUGAAUACCCCAACCCUUGAUUAACUAACCUUGGUUAGCUUAGACUAAGAUUAACUAGUUUGGGGUUAGUUUGGUUGGUUUGAUAAAUUUCAUAUUAAGUAAAGGGCAGUAUAGGCAUUCUUAAAUAGAGAAUAAUGCUAUAGUUUAAACUAGAAUCGCCUAGACUCUUCUAGAAGAGGUUUUUAGUUUAAAUUUUAGUAACUUUGUAUUAAAACUUGAGAAACAAGUUAUAACCUUACGGACUAACUAGCUAAAAACUGGAAAUAAAAGAGGGACGAAAGGUGUGAACAAAUAUCUGAGAGGAUCCCUCAUAUUUUGCAUAUAGAAGGAAGUCUAUACUGCCUUCCUUUAUAAGUUUUGAACAUCUGAAAAUUUGAAUAUCAAAAUUCAAAAAUCAAAUCUGAAAUCUUAGAGUUAGGAAAGUUUAUUUGAGAUCUUAGUUCUUCAUAAAACCCAAAAACAACACAAAAAACUCCAAAAAUUGCCGUUCUAUUGAAGUUUCCUUACAACAAUUUCAACUUCCAACUCUUAAUUUGAAUUCCUAGCUUAUCUAAGGUCCAAAAUGACUUGAAAUUUCCUAGUUUUUAGUAAUUAAGGGUUUUAAUAGUUUCAGGAGUCAAAUUUGAGCUAAAUAUGUCUAUUCAAGUUGAUUUUGGACUAUUUUCUUGUUGUAAAAUUGCUGGGUUUAGUUGAUGUCAUUUUUGUGUUUCGAGGUUAACGUUAAAUUGCUGAUUUCCAACUGAAUUUCAUUUGCUAUUCUGCUGUCUGCUUGGGCUGAUUCUCACCUUUUACUUUACUUCAAUUCCAGCUAUUCUUCAAUCUCAAAUGAUGUGUGAAGAGCUGAAUUACCAAGUGUAUUCAAAAUAUUGAAUAAUGACAAAUCGCUCAUGAUAAUUUCAUGUUUGGUUUUCUUAUGUGCACAUUAAUUUACAUGUUAGAUUAUAUAUUAGUAGUAUUUGAAAUGUAAUGAACCCAGGAUUUCAAUGUUAUGCAAUAACUAGACUGCUUUUCCUCUUCUUUCAAAAAAUGUACAAGUAGGAUCUUCAAUAGUGCUUGCCUAGCGUAGUUGAUUUUUAGUCGUGAUAUUUUGUUAGUUGAUUUUUAGUCGUGAUAUUUUGUUAGUUGAAAUUCAACAAGGAAUGUAACUUGAAUUACAAUAUUAGUUAAUCAACAUAUUAUUUGAUCUUGUGAAUU